Molecule: long non-coding RNA, 394 nt
Organism: Podarcis muralis (Common wall lizard)
Lineage: Eukaryota; Metazoa; Chordata; Lepidosauria; Squamata; Lacertidae
Source: RefSeq, a predicted model, not a curated record
UGAAACCCUGGAUUGCAGGUCCGACGUCCUGAAGUACAGCAGGAGGCUCAGCACCAAAGAAAGUAAAGAUACUCCAGGCAGCCCAGAGCUCAGCAGAAGAGGUUCCACACUGAGGUUCUUCCUCCAAGAUGGAAAACGAAGAAGGAAGUGCAGAUGGACAAAAGGGCUGGCUGAUUAUAAAGAUAUCAGCUCACAGAAAGCUCCUGUCUGAUGAUAUCAAUAUGUCCUCCGGACAGUAAAUUAGUAUUGCUCUCUCUUAAAAAGGAUGGCAAUUGCAAUAGAGAUGGCAAUUGCAAUAAGGAACCGUGGAUGGGCACAGUCCUGUAAUUCCCAAAGUGUAUCAUGAGAAAAACUGGUACAGUGUUGCAAGAAAUAAAUGAAAUAAGGAAUUAAA